GGUGGGGAUGACGUCAAGUCCUCACUUGGCCCUUAUAGGUAGGGCUACACACGUCAUACAAUGGCUGGUACAAAGGGUUGCCAACCCGCGAGGGGGAGCUAAUCCCAUAAAGCCAGUCGUAGUCCGGAUCGCAGUCUGCAACUCGACUGCGUGAAGUCGGAAUCGCUAGUAAUCGUGGAUCAGAAUGUCACGGUGAAUACGUUCCCGGGUCUU
This 213-nucleotide ribosomal RNA is filed under the name uncultured Comamonas sp. RNAcentral's name for it is "partial 16S ribosomal RNA". It matches the Rfam family "Bacterial small subunit ribosomal RNA", at positions 1172 to 1382 of the family's 1533-position model. The record is from RNAcentral. Lineage: Bacteria; Pseudomonadati; Pseudomonadota; Betaproteobacteria; Burkholderiales; Comamonadaceae.